GAUUGAACGCUGGCGGCAGGCCUAACACAUGCAAGUCGAACGGUAACAGGAAGAAGCUUGCUUCUUUGCUGACGAGUGGCGGACGGGUGAGUAAUGUCUGGGAAACUGCCUGAUGGAGGGGGAUAACUACUGGAAACGGUAGCUAAUACCGCAUAAUGUCGCAAGACCAAAGAGGGGGACCUUCGGGCCUCUUGCCAUCGGAUGUGCCCAGAUGGGAUUAGCUAGUAGGUGGGGUAACGGCUCACCUAGGCGACGAUCCCUAGCUGGUCUGAGAGGAUGACCAGCCACACUGGAACUGAGACACGGUCCAGACUCCUACGGGAGGCAGCAGUGGGGAAUAUUGCACAAUGGGCGCAAGCCUGAUGCAGCUAUGCCGCGUGUAUGAAGAAGGCCUUCGGGUUGUAAAGUACUUUCAGCGGGGAGGAAGGGAGUAAAGUUAAUACCUUUGCUCAUUGACGUUACCCGCAGAAGAAGCACCGGCUAACUCCGUG
This 491-nucleotide ribosomal RNA is filed under the name uncultured bacterium. RNAcentral's name for it is "partial 16S ribosomal RNA". It matches the Rfam family "Bacterial small subunit ribosomal RNA", at positions 27 to 507 of the family's 1533-position model. The record is from RNAcentral.